GAUGAACGCUAGCUACAGGCUUAACACAUGCAAGUCGAGGGGCAUCGCGGCGUAGCAAUACGCUGGCGGCGACCGGCGCACGGGUGAGUAACACGUAUCCAACCUGCCUCCAGCCCGGGGAUAGCCUUCCGAAAGGAAGAUUAAUACCCCGAUGGCAUCUGCCUUCCGCAUGGUCGGCAGAUUAAAGAUUUAUCAGCUGGAGAUGGGGAUGCGUUCCAUUAGGCAGUCGGCGGGGUAACGGCCCACCGAACCGACGAUGGAUAGGGGUUCUGAGAGGAAGGUCCCCCACAUUGGAACUGAGACACGGUCCAAAACUCCUAACGGGAGCAGCAGUGAGGAAUACUUGGGUCAAUGGACGGAAGUCUGGAACCAGCCUAAGUAGCGUGCAGGAUGACGGCCCUAUGGGUUG
RNAcentral lists this ribosomal RNA (409 nucleotides) under uncultured bacterium. Its description in RNAcentral is "bacterial SSU rRNA". It matches the Rfam family "Bacterial small subunit ribosomal RNA", at positions 28 to 425 of the family's 1533-position model. The record is from RNAcentral.